GUUGAAACGCCUGUUCCCGUACGAUCAGCGAAGUUAAGCAAUGUCGAGCCUGGUCAUACCUAGAUGGGUGACCUGCUUGAUAAUACUAGGUGCUGUG
This is a non-coding RNA of Acanthosepion pharaonis, 97 nucleotides long. Lineage: Eukaryota; Metazoa; Mollusca; Cephalopoda; Sepiida; Sepiidae. The record is from the annotation of a GenBank genome assembly.